UGUAUUAGCUAAUAAUUAAUGCAGCAUCGACUCUGUCUAGCUAAAAAUUUGGAUAGAAUUUUAUAAUGACAUUUUCUAUCCAUGUGUCUUGACCAAAUUACGUGCCAGCAGUCGCGGUAAUACGUAAAAGACUAGUGUUAUUCAUCUUUAAUGGGUUUAAAGGGUACUUAGACGGUAUAUUCAGCCCAAAUAUUUUGAAAGGGUACUGAUUAAACUAGAGUUUUAUGCGAGGGGGUGUGUACUAGUGGAGUAGAGAUGAAAUUCUGUCAUACCAUUAUGAACAGGCAACGGCGAAAGCAACCCUUUAUGUAAAAACUGACGUUGAAGGACGAAGGCUCAGUACACCAACAGGAUUAGAUACCCCAGCAGUCUGAGCAGACAAUGAUGAGUGUCAUAGGUAAGAAAGAAAAAAAAAAAUAAAAAAUGAACAUUUUUUUAUUCAUUUUUUUUUAAUUUUGUCUAUAAAUGAAAGUGUAAGCAUUCCACCUCAAGAGUAAUGUGGCAACGCAAAAACUGAAAUCAUUAGACCGUUUCUGAAACCAGUAGUGAACUAUGUUGUUUAAUUUGUAGGUACGCAAAGAACCUUACCACAAUUUGAAUAUUUAUUAAUUUAUAUUAUUUAAAUACAAAAUUUGCACGGCUGUCUUCAUUUAAUGUCGUGAGAUUUUGGUUAGUUCCAUA
Molecule: ribosomal RNA, 681 nt
Filed under: Lepra amara
Lineage: Eukaryota; Fungi; Ascomycota; Lecanoromycetes; Pertusariales; Pertusariaceae
Description: partial small subunit ribosomal RNA
Rfam family: Bacterial small subunit ribosomal RNA
Source: RNAcentral